Long non-coding RNA from Ostrea edulis (European flat oyster), 5889 nucleotides. RefSeq lists it as uncharacterized. Lineage: Eukaryota; Metazoa; Mollusca; Bivalvia; Ostreida; Ostreidae. The record is from RefSeq and is a predicted model, not a curated record. The transcript is spliced from 2 exons.
CAACAGUUCAGAAGAAGAAUCUAUUACACAUUCUGCAAGAGUUAAAAAUAGAACGAUGUCGACAAGGCAGAGAAAGCGUGAACGAUACACCAUGGGAUUAGAGUGUAUACAAAAGUAAACAUAACAAAAUGUAAAUUAAUUUCCAUCAACAUUUGGCAUAAUAAGUUUUGCACUUUUCAUUUUAUACAGGUUGUUUUUAGAUAAAUGCAAAACUAAUUAUGGUACACGCAUAUAAGAAACAAAAUGCAUAUUCACAGAACGUUCGCAUGUGCCGCUGUGUAGAUAAGCCAAAACUAUCUCGAUUUAAAGUACAAAGUGCUUGACGAGGAACUUAACUGAAUAUUAUGCAAUUUGUUGACGAUAACAUUUGUUUAAGUACGUGUGUAUGAUGUAUGCAUAAAGAGGAUGGAUAUAUCGAGAAGGAGUGUGACUAAUGUUGGGAUGCUACUUUUUUUCCCUAUUUAUAAAAGGGGUCUUAAAGCUGUACAUAUGACCUGUAAUUUCUUCCUCCAAAUCCUAUAUAUUGAAAUAUAUCAAUGUAACUGAAUUGGAUUGAUUUUUAUUUACUAAAUAAAGUGCAUGAAAACAAUUGAGUUGAAAGGAAAAUAUGGAAAGAUUAUGAAAGAAAUAAUUGUUCGAACACCAUAUUUUCGAUGGUUGAUUUUCUAAACCCGUACACAUACACGAAAAACGUGGGGUCAAUUUGAGGUGGUGGAAGUUAGCUGACGGAUUAAAAACAUUCUUAUUUGAAUGCAUGCAAUAUCAAGUACAUCUCGUUCUUACUAACGUAAUCUUGCUUCUUGAUGUUUGACUAUUGACGCUGACUAGGGGAAGUAUAUAUUAAAGACAUCCUCCAAUCACGAUUUUUAAAUAGCAUUAUAACAUCUGUACAACAUCACAUCAAAAUCAUUUCAAAAUACACAAUUACAAGCAUGGUUAGAUAUGAAAUGUUCCCCAAUUUACCAGCAUUUCUCAAACUUUAACUAUACUAGUCGCUGUGGCUCAGUCUUUAGAGGGUUCGUUGUGGCUCAGUGUUCAGAGGAUUUGUUGUGGCUCAGUGGUUAAACGGUUCGUUGUUGCUCAGUAUUUAAAGAGUUCGUUGUGGCUCAGUGUUCAGAGGAUUUUUUGUGGCUCAGUGGUUAAAUGGUUUGUUGUUGCUCAGUAUUUAAAGAGUUCGUUGUGGCUCAGUGUUCAGAGGAUUUUUUGUGGCUCAGUGGUUAAAUGGUUCGUUGAUGCUCAGUCGUUAAAGGGUUUGUUGUGGCACAGUUUUCAGAGGGUUCGUUGUGGCUUAGUAGUUAAACAGUUUGUUGUGACUCAGUGUUUAGAGGGAUCGUUGUGGCUCAGUGAUUAGUGGUUCGUUGUUGCUCAGUAGUUAAAUCGUUCGUUGUGACUCAGUGUAUAGAGGAUUCGUUGUGGCUCAGUAGCUAAAGGGUUUGCUGUGACUUGGUGUUUAGAGGGAUCGUUGUGACUCAGUGGUUAGUGGUUCGUUCUGGCUCAGUGGUUAGUGGAUUCGUUGUAACUCAGUGGUAAGAGGGUUUGUUCUCGUUCAGUGGUUUGAGGGUUUGUUGUGGCUCAUUGGUUAGAUGGUUUGUUGUGGCUAAGUGGUAGGGAGGGAUCUUUAUCGUGCCACACCUGUUGUGAUACAGAGCCUCGGUUUUUGCGGUGUACGGGCUGAGGGUUUUUAAAGGCGAGGGAAUUCUUUGAUUUUCACUGUUGAAAUCCAUUCAUCAAUACAAUUACACAUAAAGAUUAAUAUUUUUCUUUCUACCAUUUAUUUCCCCCCAGAUUAUUUUCAGAAUGCAUGCAUUUUUUAAAAAGAUGGCUUUUGAUGACACCCCCCUCCCCCAAAAAAAUAAUCCUGACUUUUUACAUUGUCAUUAUAAUACUGUAGCGCAUUUAUAUAGUGUCGUAUCUUAAUCUCAUGCUGAGCUAGUUUACCCGAAUUCACCAGUGUCAUGAACAUGCGUACAAAUUAUCAACUUAUUCUCUGAAUGCAGUUUUGUAAGACUUUUUAAUGGGGAAAAUCUUACAAUAAUAGGUAAUUGUGUCAUAAUAGGCCUACAUGUGUGAUUUUAUCAUUAAGAGAAGUUAGUAAAACCUCACAUCACCGACUGACAGAGUACUGACUGAGUACUGUUGCAGACGCAGAUAUCCGUCACGUCAUCACUAAUUGCUUUUUUUCUUCACUAUUUUCAUUUUUUGAAAAUCCUAGCUUGCAAUCCCGCUGCAUGCAUUAUCUGACAUGUACAUUACACAGGGCCGUGUUACAAACGGAUGCGCGGAUCCAACAAUAUAUCUUAGUGAGAAAUCGAUUUAAUACUUGUACCGCAUGCAUUUAUAAGCAUGCCCGAACCGCCGCGAUGAUGUAGAGGUACAGCAUUUGCCCCGCAAGCGAAAGGUCAGGGUUCAAAACACGGUCGCUAUUUGAAGCCCUUCACCGAUCUUGGUGACGUCUCCAUACUAUGACUGGAAAAUUCUCGAGAAGGACGUUAAACAAGAUACAGUCAAUCAAUGAAUAUAAGCAUGCCCAAGUGCUUACAUAAACAUAAUAACAUAAAAUCGUAUCUAAAUCACAAUUGUUAUACAAUAUAUAUUUAGAAUUCAUGAUCAUAGGUCUAAUACACAGACAAUCAUGCUAAACGGUGUUUAUUUUCAUGGUCCAGAGGCGUGCUCCAAUACGAAACUUGGAUUACUGAGAUUUUUUUUUCAUGAUUUUUGUGGAAACAACGUCAUAAUUACAGGUGAAUGUGACACCAUUGAUAGAAGAUUUCCCGGACAUAUGCCUAUAUUUAGAAUAACUAAAUGGCCAAGAGUAACAAUAAUAAUAAUUAUAGUAAUGUCAAGUUUAUUGACUGAAUUUAAAUAUCAUGUGAAUGUGGGGCCGAUUUUCGCCCUUAGAGCCCCUAGCUCAAGCAAUGUCCUUAGAUGUGUAAAGCGUUUUAGUUAUAUCUAUAGUACAUGCAUAUUUCAUUGUGCUAAUUUAUAUAUUUUGUUUUCACUAUUAUAUUUGUAACACUGUGUUAAAUGUGUCAUUGCAACAUUGUGAAGUGUGGCAGUAGUAGUUCAUCUGAUAUAAUGUAAUGCUGUAAUGAUUAUUGGUAUACAUGCAUAUUGUUUAAGAAUGUACAUUCCUCUCCCGGGGCCCUUAAUGACACACACUUAAAAUGGCGUUAUCUCCCCCUCUAUCCAAGCUAUACUUCUAUGUACUGCUGUCCUUGCCUCUUUAUAAUUAGCGUAAGUAAUCAUUUUCUCAGACAUUCAAUCACAUCAUUUUUACAUAUACAAUUGUACCCUUGGGAACUUAAAAUCUAAUAAUAUUUUACGUUUGUGAAUCUAUAAAUAUAGCAUCAUCCUGCAGUUGUUGUGCCUAUCAGUUCUACACAGAUUGAUAACGUAGAUUAAUCACAGUGGGCUAGCCGGUGGCUGUGUUAAUGUGCCUGAUAUUUCAGGUCAAAUGUUGAAAUUAAAUCUCAGAUUCUGAACAUCUUACCUGUUGCUAUGUAAACAGGCUAAUAUGUGAUUUCUUAGUUCCUAAAAAAAAUGUUACUAUGUAAGAACAUGUAUCAUGAUUGUUUUUGCUGUAGUCACAGAUCAUUCAUAUUAAUUAUUGUAAAAAUACAUAAUUAUAUUAAAUCUUUAAUUGAUAAAAAAAAAAGCAUCAGAUAUAGUAUAAACACAUUGACAAAAGUAAUAGUUCUUGUUUUAGAAUUAAACAAGUGUCGGAAUCUGUAAAAGCUGUACAUUACUGUGUCAAAAGAAAUAUGACACAUGUAGAGUAUGUAUGUGGAAUGAUCAGUUCUGAGGUACAUGUAACUUGUGUACGAUUUAUACCAUGAAACCAAAUAGAACUGUGUUUUCAAAACUGUUUUAUAAUUGCAUUAUUGCAGGAAUUAGUAACCUAAAUAUAUAUGUUCUAAGAUCCUUCAUGAUGGAUACGUACAUACAUGUAUCUAUAAUAUGCAACCUGUAGGAAUAUUGCGCCCAGAUUACAAUAGACAAUCUGUAACCGACGUAAUUUUUCACUAUGGCUAACUUAGAACAAAUGAUCACGUGUCAUAUACACAUUUGCAUAGCAUGCUAUCCAAAUAUAGAAAUAAAAUUCAAGAUGCUGUCUGUAGAACACCAUUAUGUAACGAACAAACGUAUAACAAAAUGUAAGAUGAUAUUAAAGUUAUUAGGUCACAUGUUGGGUACAUACAUAUAUUACAUAAUGUAAAACUUAUACGGUACCAAUUUUGAUGCACCAGAUGCGCAUUUCGACAAAUUAUGUCUCUUCAGUGAUGCUCAACCGAAAUGUUUGAAAUCAUUUAAGACAUUUCUGUACAAAAACCACCAUGUUCUUUAAAUAUAUCCUUGGAGUUCGCUUCUUAACAAACAGUUGUUAAAACGGUAGUAUUAAAGAUGCCUCUUAACAAACAGUUGUUAAGAUACAUCCCUUAACAAACGAUUGUUAGGAUAUGACCCUUAACAAACAAUUAUAAUUUUUGGCACAGAAACAUUAGGUUGUGCAAAUGAGUUGCUAAGACUUCCUUAACAAUCAACUGUUAAGACCUUCCUAUACAAAGAUAAUGUGUUCAUUGUAAUGUUUUUGAGUUUUCUUAACAAACAGUUAAAAUUAGCUUCUUAAGGGUGUACUCUCGUGGUACUUUUACCGCGAGUGAGUUUCCAUAGUUUUUAAAGUCGUAACUAUGGGGGUGCGUGUGUUUUAUUUCGUUUGCACAAAAAAAGAACAUUAAUAUCUGUUUUUAUUUGUAAGUAAUGUUAAUAAACUAACAAAAAUUAAUUAAAAUAUGACUUUUUUUUUACUUAUUUUUUAUAUUGUACUACAUUCAUGAUGACGUUACGAUUGUGCACAAACUCGAGCUCAAAGAGAAGUCCAGAAACAUACAUGGGUGAUUCGUUAGAAGUAAAACGGCAGUUAUAGAUCAGUCUGCAUGCGAUAUUCUCACAAGUGAGUGGCAGACAGAGAAAAUUACAGACAAGCAGGCACAACCACGCACAUGGUGACACAUGGUGACACACUACAGACUGUACAUAGUGUCAGACGAGAGGGGAAAAUGGAAGGAUGUUAGCGAUGUAGUACCCGAAUCAGAGGCUGCUGAUAUAGUAUUGAAUGAAUUUUUACAUCCAUUUGGUAAUCACAGUUAGAGGGAUGAGUUGUGCUAUCAUCAUAUGAAGAACCAUACCAGGAAGUGCAGAUUUCUUCCUCAUGGUCACAUGGAAAAUGACUGUUAAAACUAGUUUCCGGAUAAUAACUCAAGUACUUUACAUUCUAUUUAAACCAAAUUUGGACAUAUGGAUACAUACAAAGACGGAAAGAUGCCUAUCAAUUUUGGGGUCAGAAGGUCAAAGAUCAAGGUCACAGCGCAUGGAAAUUAGAAACUGUUGAUGCGGGAGCAUAGGUUUUACACAUUCUUUAUUUAUAAAUAAAUUAGUAUUAUAUAUAUGCAUAUAUUUAUGUUUUCUGGUUAUUUAUCAUAUAAUGAAAUAAAUAUAUAGAAUUUGUAAAUAUUAAUUGAAAAAUACACAUUUUAUAACAAAUAGUAUAUUAUCAUUGUUUAGAAUGUAUGUCAGUGUAAGAGGGGGGGGGGGGCACAAAAUGGUUCUAAUCUGUGUUCCAAUGCAAACUACCCCACACAUUUUUUUUCAUUCAAAUUAAGCAAAAAUAUGAUUCAAAUCUACAGUAGUACUUUCAGAAAAAGUUUGAUACAGAUAUUCUCCCUAGGUUGAAUUUUUUUGAUGAAAUUGGUCUUCACAUGUGUGUGAUAUUUUAUAAAAUAAUGUUACUUUAUACUUGAUUUUUGCAGAAUUGGUGAUAUGUUUUAUAUAAAAGUUAUUGAAAUAAUCAAUUAUGCUUAAUUUUCAUAAAAUAAAAGAAAUCCAUGAUUA